This 373-nucleotide ribosomal RNA is filed under the name uncultured organism. Its description in RNAcentral is "partial 16S ribosomal RNA". It matches the Rfam family "Bacterial small subunit ribosomal RNA", at positions 527 to 896 of the family's 1533-position model. The record is from RNAcentral.
GUAGGUGGCAAGCGUUGUCCGGAAUUAUUGGGCGUAAAGCGCGCGCAGGCGGUCCUUUAAGUCUGAUGUGAAGGCCCGCGGCUCAACCGUGGAGGGUCAUUGGAAACUGGGGGACUUGAGUACAGAAGAGGAAAGCGGAAUUCCAAGUGUAGCGGUGAAAUGCGUAGAGAUUUGGAGGAACACCAGUGGCGAAGGCGGCUUUCUGGUCUGUAACUGACGCUGAGGCGCGAAAGCGUGGGGAGCAAACAGGAUUAGAUACCCUGGUAGUCCACGCCGUAAACGAUGAGUGCUAAGUGUUAGGGGGUUUCCCGCCCCCUUAGUGCUGCAGCUAACGCAUUAAGCACUCCGCCUGGGGAGUACGGCCGCAAGGCUG